Syngnathus acus (greater pipefish) is the source of this 1718-nucleotide RNA transcript. It is a transcript of the gene named protein-L-isoaspartate (D-aspartate) O-methyltransferase, with no coding region annotated. NCBI's taxonomy places the organism in Eukaryota, Metazoa, Chordata, Actinopteri, Syngnathiformes, Syngnathidae. The record is from RefSeq and is a predicted model, not a curated record. The transcript is spliced from 8 exons.
UAAAUCUCAAUCCAACGAGUGAGCGACGUGGAAAUAACCUCGCAGAAGAGGGAUAUAUUUCAAUAUUUAUUUCUCAUGAAAUGACACUACUCUGCAGCAUAUUGCGUGAAAGACGAGCUGCCCCGCUGUAGCUUCACCGUGAAUGUCUGGUGACGUAUCGGCUGCUCCGUCUGCUUUGGAGGUUGCCACCUUCCUCGGCAAAACACUUGGCGCAGGCGCGGCACUGACGGCUGCUGUCUACUUAGCCCGCAAAGUCUGCCUAAUAAUGGCGUGGAAAUCUGGAGGAGCUAGCCACGCAGAACUCGUCAACAACCUGCGCAAAAAUGGCAUCAUCAAGUCCGACAAGGUCUAUGAAGUCAUGCUGGGGACAGACCGGGCACAUUACUCUCGAUGUAACCCUUACAUGGACUCGCCGCAGUCAAUAGGCUUCCAAGCAACCAUCAGCGCCCCGCAUAUGCACGCGUAUGCCCUGGAGCUUUUACAAGAGCAGCUGCACGAGGGUGCCAAAGCCCUGGACGUGGGCUCCGGCAGCGGAAUCCUUUCUGUUUGCUUUGCACGAAUGGUAGGCCCUGAAGGGAAAGUUGUCGGCAUCGACCACAUUAAAGAGCUGGUUGACGACGCUGUUACCAAUGUGAAGAAAGACGACCCCAGUUUGAUCACGUCGGGAAGAGUAACGCUAAAAAUCGGAGACGGACGAUUGGGCUACACAGAAGAGGCGCCUUAUGACGCCAUCCAUGUUGGAGCAGCAGCAGCAACGGUCCCCCAAGCUCUCCUGGACCAGUUGAAGCCCGGCGGCCGUCUCAUUCUGCCCGUAGGCCCGGCAGGGGGGAACCAGAUGUUAGAGCAAUACGACAAGAUGGAGGAUGGCAGCACCAAAAUGAAGCCCCUGAUGGGGGUGAUCUAUGUGCCUUUAACGGACAAAGACAAGCAGUGGUCCAGGUGGAAGUGACUCCCUUCUUCUCCCCUCCCUCCCUUCCAUCCUCUCCUUCUCACAGCGGAAAAGGGAUGAACUCUGAACAGGAAGACAGUCCAUACGCCACCUUUGUAAUAUCGAACCUGGACCGAAAAAAACGGACUUGCGGGGGGGUAAAUUCCAAAAGCAUAAUAAAACGACUUAUUUAAGUUUAUUCACUAAGCGUGAUGGACUAAAGAGUAUCGAUGAAGAGGGAGGGGGAAAAAAAAACGCUUUAAGCUGUACCUGAAUAAUAUUUUCUGUUGUGGUUUCCUUAUUUUGAAUGCAGUCAGCUAUAGUAUUUCUGCGUCAAAAGAAGAAUGUUGGACUUUAAAGCCUGAGCCUAUUAGGUGAUCCACAUCACUGCAGUUUCAAUUCCUCUGCUAAUAGAUGAGCUUGUCAACCAACCUCCCCCUCCCACACAGACACUGAUUGCAGUAUUAGCUGAUGAGCCCCAAAUAAUUGCAGCACUCAAGACCAUCUUAUACUACAGCCUAGCGAUGCAGUCGGGGUACAAUACCGGCAAUAGUUUCCAUCCAAAGAAAACGGAUCAUUAACACCAACACGUGCAUGGCAAAGAUGCGCUUCCAAGAAACAUCAAAUGCAAGCCCCUCUGGUGAUUUUUUCACAGUCACUGCUUUGCCAAAACAAGCUGUCAUAAAUGAAUGUCUUGAGGGAAAAACUUUAAGCACAUUUUAUUUGGAGUGAACUGAGUGAUGAUUGUCAUGAUUUCUGGAAUGGCAUAUGACAAUAAAGUUAGCUUGUG